GAAGAAUGCUGUUUCAGUCCCCUAAUUGUUACAACUGGUCUUCUUUCAGCUCCCUACAUACCAAGUGUCUCCUGGCAUAUUGAGUGCCAAAGGCAUCUGAGUUGUCUGCAUAGGAAUGGCAGCAUCAAGGUAACUAGAGUUCUUUGGGAGGAGAGACGCUCUUGCCUAUGCUCUUAUCCUUCCUCUCUCUGCCUGGGAACCAGAUUGCAUGAGAGAAAUGCACCGCCACAGCUGCUCUUCCUGCUCUGCACCGCUUGUCACCCUCUUCCUUAGCACCAGUUCUGCCCUUGGGACUUACAUAAAAACAAACCACUUCUCCGGCUCCCGGUGCUACCAUCAAGUUUUUUCAAGUACUGUGAAAUAUGCCCAGCUGUGGGCACAGACUGCAAGCAAAUCUCUGAAAACCACUGAAAAUGUAGGUGUUGCUAAAGCCGG
Falco peregrinus (peregrine falcon) is the source of this 435-nucleotide long non-coding RNA. RefSeq lists it as uncharacterized. The transcript is spliced from 3 exons. The record is from RefSeq and is a predicted model, not a curated record. Lineage: Eukaryota; Metazoa; Chordata; Aves; Falconiformes; Falconidae.